UUCCUCUCACCAAAAUGCACUUUAUUGCGUGUGGCUGCUGUUCUGGGCUGUUAUCCCGUUGAAGAACAGCUCUGCAGCUCCAGGGAGAGGGACAAAGGGACCUGCAGAGUGACCCACACAGAGGUGACCCCACAGUGCUAACCCCAUGGGUUAGUCCUUCUCCUCUCCGUGUGUGAUGACGUGGACGAGGUUUUUGUAGUCGAGGUUGCCGGAGACGUCUGGAGGGAAGGCAGCAAACAUCUGAUCGAUCUCCUCCUGGGAAAACCUCUCGCCCUGCGUCAUCAGCAUUUCUUUGAUGUAGGCAGAUUUCAGCCCUUUGCCCUCCGGAUCAAACACCUUGAACGCGUUCAGGAUCGUCUCCUCUGGAUCAGCACCCUUGAGUUUCUCCCCAAACAUGGUGAGGAACACAGUGAAGUUGAUUGGGCCAGGUGCCUCCUUGAUCAUCUCAUCGAUCUCCUCGUUUUUCACAUUCAGGCGCCCGAGUGCAGCAAAUGUAUCUCUCAGGUCUGCCUUGUCGAUGAAGCCGUCUCGGUUCUGAUCCAUGAUGGUGAACGCCUCUUUGAAUUCCUGGAUCUGGGCCUGCUCGAACAUGGAGAAGACAUUGGAAUUCGCACCUUCAAUCCUCUUCUUGGCUUUCUUGGGUGCCAUGGCUUCGCAGAGGUGCUGGUGGUGCUGCAGGAGGGAUCUC
This 688-nucleotide long non-coding RNA is filed under the name Gallus gallus (chicken). The record is from RNAcentral. Lineage: Eukaryota; Metazoa; Chordata; Aves; Galliformes; Phasianidae.